UACCAGCACCCCGAGUGGUCGGGACGUUUAUUGGGCCUAAAGCAUCCGUAGCCGGUUCUACAAGUCUUCCGUUAAAUCCAACUGCUUAACAGGUGGGCUGCGGAAGAUACUAUAGAGCUAGGAGGCGGGAGAGGCAAGCGGUACUCGAUGGGUAGGGGUAAAAUCCGUUGAUCCAUUGAAGACCACCAGUGGCGAAGGCGGCUUGCCAGAACGCGCUCGACGGUGAGGGAUGAGAGCUGGGGGAGCAAACCGG
This 253-nucleotide ribosomal RNA is filed under the name uncultured bacterium. RNAcentral's name for it is "partial 16S ribosomal RNA". It matches the Rfam family "Archaeal small subunit ribosomal RNA", at positions 474 to 727 of the family's 1478-position model. The record is from RNAcentral.